RNAcentral lists this long non-coding RNA (297 nucleotides) under Phoenix dactylifera (date palm). RNAcentral describes it as "long non-coding RNA (PDAC_LNC015811)". Lineage: Eukaryota; Viridiplantae; Streptophyta; Magnoliopsida; Arecales; Arecaceae. The record is from RNAcentral.
CACAAAUAAUUUUCCUAAUUUGGAAAAAUAGAAGGAAGCAUUUGAUGCAAGGAAUUGCACUAAAUUAUGCAGGCAAGUUCUAGCCAAAAUCCAUACUGAAACAUGAUUUCAAUUUAUAAAAAUAACAAUUGAACAACAUAUAAAUCAACAAUGAAGUUCCAGAUAAAUAAAAGCUCCACGGAAAAAUGAGAAAAGAAAGAAGAAGAACAGAAAAUUGAAGAACAAUGACUCUCUCCUUCCUUUAGGUGCAUGAUGUAUGUCUAUGAUACAGAUUCAGAGAACCAUAUAAGCUAGGCU